RNAcentral lists this ribosomal RNA (131 nucleotides) under Madhuca motleyana. RNAcentral describes it as "5.8S ribosomal RNA". It matches the Rfam family "5.8S ribosomal RNA". Rfam says of the family: 5.8S ribosomal RNA (5.8S rRNA) is a component of the large subunit of the eukaryotic ribosome. The record is from RNAcentral. Lineage: Eukaryota; Viridiplantae; Streptophyta; Magnoliopsida; Ericales; Sapotaceae.
UUAACGACUCUCGGCAACGGAUAUCUCGGCUCUCGCAUCGAUGAAGAACGUAGCGAAAUGCGAUACUUCUUUGAACGCAAGUUGCGCCCGAAGCCAUUAGGCCAAGGGCACGCCUGCCUGGGCGUCUCACA